RNAcentral lists this ribosomal RNA (585 nucleotides) under Asterina weinmanniae. Its description in RNAcentral is "bacterial SSU rRNA". It matches the Rfam family "Eukaryotic small subunit ribosomal RNA", at positions 663 to 1254 of the family's 1831-position model. The record is from RNAcentral. Lineage: Eukaryota; Fungi; Ascomycota; Dothideomycetes; Asterinales; Asterinaceae.
GCCUCACCGCGAGUACUGGCUCGGCCGGCCCUUUCCUCGCGGGGAACCCCAUGCCCUUCACUGGGUGUGCGGGCCAUCCGCGACUUUUACUGUGAAUAAAUCAGACUGUUCAAAGGAGGCCUUUGCUCGUAUGUCUUAGCAUGGAAUAAUGGAAUAGGACGCGCGUCCCUAUUUUGUUGGUUUCUAGGGACGCCGUAAUGAUUAAUAGGGAUGGUCGGGGGCAUCAGUAUUCAAUUGUCAGAGGUGAAAUUCUUGGAUUUAUUGAAGACUAACUACUGCGAAAGCAUUUGCCAGGGAUGUUUUCAUUAAUCAGUGAACGAAAGUUAGGGGAUCGAAGACGAUCAGAUACCGUCGUAGUCUUAACCGUAAACCAUGCCGACUAGGGAUCGGGCGAUGUUUCAUAAUGACUCGCUCGGCACCUUGCGAGAAAUCAAAGUAAGGUUCUGGGGGGAGUAUGGUCGCAAGGCUGAAACUUAAAGAAAUUGACGGAAGGGCACCACCAGGAGUGGAGCCUGCGGCUUAAUUUGACUCAACACGGGGAAACUCACCAGGUCCAGACACAAUAAGGAUUGACAGAUUUGAGAG